CAAAAUCAUUGGGGGUGUGAUCGGUCAUGGCUUACACCCCCGCUGGAAGCGCCGGUAAGGCGUCUGACAGCGCAACCCUUUGUGAAACCCCCCUGUUGCUUCGGCAGCCCCUCUCAGGAGCGGUAAGCCUGCCGGCAGCAUUAAGGAAACUCACUCUGAAAACCUGCAACUCAGUCUGAACAACACAGUCAAAUGACUAUA
Molecule: unclassified non-coding RNA, 201 nt
Filed under: uncultured Orbiliaceae
Lineage: Eukaryota; Fungi; Ascomycota; Orbiliomycetes; Orbiliales
Description: sequence contains ITS1
Source: RNAcentral